This is a long non-coding RNA of Betta splendens (Siamese fighting fish), 1143 nucleotides long. RefSeq lists it as uncharacterized. The record is from RefSeq and is a predicted model, not a curated record. Lineage: Eukaryota; Metazoa; Chordata; Actinopteri; Anabantiformes; Osphronemidae. The transcript is spliced from 3 exons.
GCCUUUUGCACACGGCCCUUCUGUUCCAAUGAAGCUACUGUAUAAAAGAGCCAGUCCCUCGCUUACUGUACCAAUCAAAGCGUAGACUAAACUAAAGACUGAAAUAUCAGCUUCCCUGGAAAAGAAGAGCAUCAACUGAAGGAAUGGAUCGUUGCGAGUGUGUCAAGACUGGAAGCUGCAAGUGUGGGGGAUCCUGCACCUGCUCACACUGCAUCUGUACCAAGUGCAAGAAAAACUGACUGGUCUGGGCUGUCCUGGGAACACCUUGGGGUCAUCCUGGAAGAGCUGGAGGAAGUGUCCAGGGAGAGGGAUGUCUGGAGCUGUCUGCUUAGACUGCUGCCCCCGGGACCCGGCCCCAGAUAAGCGGUCAAAGAUGGAUGGAUGGAUGGAUGUACAUUAACUGAACUGAAAGUCUGACUAGCAGCCACCGGAUGUUCUUCAGUUAUAUUUGUAUUUGCCAGCAUGUAGUAGAAGACCACAAACAUUUUAUUCAGGGGAGUAGCAGCUUUAUCACAUUUUGUUGACCACCAGACCUAAAAUCGCUUUUGAUACAGGAAAUGUUGUAGAAAAUGAAAUCUACGCUUAUUCAAUCAAUAAAUAAAACCAGCCACAAAACUAUAAAACAGAGCUGAUUAACAAAAUUCUCAACAACUUUUAUAGAGUUCAUCCCUUUUUAUGUGAAACAGAAAACAAAGUAAGCAAAGAACAUGAGAGUUUAUGAAUUGGUCAUCUGGCUUUGGUUUUACCUUCAUACCAUCUACUGUCAUGUCCAUGUGAUGUCAAAGGGGCAAAAAAAAGAAAGGGGAAAGAGGUGUUGUCUUUAAUGCAGCCCAUAAAGACUGCAGUCGGGUGGUGGUCAGUGAAAACAAGCAACACCUCAAAUACCCAGCAGAAUCAUCAACACCUCUGCCUAGGUCAAUAAAGAUUAUCAAUAAAAAUCAUUUUAGACAUUCACAGAUGUGGGCUGUGUACAUGGACAUGUACUUCAUCUCUACAGAAUUUUAGCAAAUAAUACAGUAUUCUUACAUUAAUCUGUUUAAUACUGGACUUCCACUGUGCGAAUGGGUAAUACACAGCAUGUACCUGCACCUUUUGGAGAUUCAUUUCACAGUUUCAUUUCAAUAAAAUCACUACAUUAACACA